Long non-coding RNA from Hyla sarda, 1625 nucleotides. RefSeq lists it as uncharacterized. The record is from RefSeq and is a predicted model, not a curated record. The transcript has 4 exons. Lineage: Eukaryota; Metazoa; Chordata; Amphibia; Anura; Hylidae.
AAUCACAUGACUUGUCAUAAUACAAAUGCAAGGGAAGAAACACCAAGACUAAAACCCACUGGGGGAGAUUUAUCAAAACCUGUCCAGAGGAAAAGUUGCUGAGUUGCCCAUAGCAACCAAUCAGAUCGCUUCUUUCAUUUUUCAGAGGCAAAAAGUGGAGACUUAGCCUAACUCUAUAUUGUGCUGUUCUGUUCUACCUACUGGAAAAUUAUGACUAAGUUGAACACUGACUUUUAUCAAAGGAAAACUAUGCCUUGAGCAAUAAUGAAAAAACAUUUCAAUCUUUGGCUUCUCCGGCUGGACGAAUGAAGGACGCUGUAAUGUGAGGCUGCUGUAUAUUGCUUGAACAGUCUGAAGCCACAAGCUUUAAAAGGCAGCUUUAUCAAAGCGCUAGUAAAAAUGUGCUAGCUGCAGUCGGAAUAUGAGCUGGACUGACAGUCAGAUACAUCAUGGCAAAUGUAGGCUUCAUAAGGAGAGCCAUAAAGGGGAAGAGAGAAUCAAGAUGGCAGACAACACAUAAAUGGUGGUACAUUCAUCAUAGGCUGGUCCAGUACACACGUCACAUGUUCUAAAACAGGAAUCGCACUCUCUAUCUACAUCAUCAGCGUAGAAUCCAAGACCACAGUCAGUGACACAAACCCCAUCUGUGAAAAUAGAAAAGAUAAAAAAACAUAGAGUACCGCUAUACACAGGACUACCACAAAUGGCAGCAUUUAUGCAAUUUGUCUGUUUUUUGUUUUAGGGUUUAUUCACACAUACAGAAGCUGUAGAUUUUAUGAUGACUUCAAUCAGCAUACAUUAAAUGGAGCAUUUAUACAGCUGAAUGAUUGCUAUUAAUGGUUAUCAAACAAUAGAGAAAUGAUUGUUUGCUUGUUUAACGGAUGAUCAGUUGGUCUUUAGUGAUUAGCACCAUUUCCUUGAAGCUCUACCAAGAGCAACAUCUGCAAGGGCUUUUCAUAUUCUUCCCAUGUUUGCUCAAGUUAGUUCCAUGUACUCUUGGUUAAUCUCAUACUAUCAUACUGAUAGGUGAAUUACAGAUGUAGUGACCGCCAUCAGGUUCACAGUGGGGCUACAUCAUGACUGGACAUAGUCUUAACAGGCGAACUUGAGCAGCAGUGAAUAUACUGCAUCCUUGCUCACUGUACAUUCACCAUGAGUGGUACUCACCAUGUAUAGUAUUGUAAAGUGAGCAGCGAUACAUAUAGUACUUGGAUCUCAGCCCUGAAAGCAGUGGCUCAGUCACUGGGUUUGGUGAAUGUAAAGUGAGUAGUGAUGUAUGCAGUGUAUGUAUCAUUAUUUAGUACUGUAUAGGAGCAGGGAGGACGAUGAUAUACAGGAGUCCCUACUCCUUUAUGUACAUUCAGUAGCUAAAUAAACAGAGUAGAGCACUGCCAAUCAUAUUGGUGGAUGCUACAUCUGUAGCUUGCUAUAUAAAAUUGUCCCUAGUGUGCACUCACUCUCUAGGGAAUUUAUACAAUGAGACCCAUUGUGGACAGGACCUGAUAUGAAUGAUGAUAAUCUGUAUAGUUGUAUCGUGAUAAGGAAUAUGUAGGUGUUAAAGACGUAAUAGGAAAGUAAUAGAUAAUUAUACAGUGUUGAAUACAAUUUUAUGAAAACACAUUAGU